This 460-nucleotide ribosomal RNA is filed under the name uncultured bacterium. RNAcentral describes it as "partial 16S ribosomal RNA". It matches the Rfam family "Bacterial small subunit ribosomal RNA", at positions 338 to 795 of the family's 1533-position model. The record is from RNAcentral.
CCUACGGGCGGCAGCAGUGAGGAAUAUUGGUCAAUGGACGAGAGUCUGAACCAGCCAAGUAGCGUGAAGGAUGACUGCCCUAUGGGUUGUAAACUUCUUUUAUAAAGGAAUAAAACGAGGCACGUGUGCCUUUUUGCAUGUACUUUAUGAAUAAGGAUCGGCUAACUCCGUGCCAGCAGCCGCGGUAAUACGGAGGAUCCGAGCGUUAUCCGGAUUUAUUGGGUUUAAAGGGAGCGUAGAUGGGUUGUUAAGUCAGUUGUGAAAGUUUGCGGCUCAACCGUAAAAUUGCAAUUGAUACUGGCAGUCGUGAGUACAGUUGAGGUAGGCGGAAUUCGUGGUGUAGCGGUGAAAUGCUUAGAUAUCACGAAGAACCCCGAUUGCGAAGGCAGCUUACUAAACUGUGACUGACAUUGAUGCUCGAAAGUGUGGGUAUCAAACAGGAUUAGAUACCCGAGUAGUU